GUCUAAUUGGUCUUUGGUCUUCAGCUUGUGGACCGGCGCUGGUCUGCAAGAACUUAUUGCAGGUCUGCAAAAGCUUUCACCUGCUUACCAUACCAUGCUUUCACUGCAAAAUCAUUUGGUCCCACCCUGCUGUCUGCCGUUCUCAGGUCGGUGGGGAGAUCAAAGAUCUCCCUCACCGGUCUCCUGGCAGUUUGUUAUGGGUGAGGGAGGUAGUAAGGACCAGGAGACUGCAGGG
Pelobates cultripes (western spadefoot toad) is the source of this 235-nucleotide non-coding RNA. The record is from the annotation of a GenBank genome assembly. NCBI's taxonomy places the organism in Eukaryota, Metazoa, Chordata, Amphibia, Anura, Pelobatidae.